RNAcentral lists this ribosomal RNA (466 nucleotides) under uncultured bacterium. RNAcentral's name for it is "partial 16S ribosomal RNA". It matches the Rfam family "Bacterial small subunit ribosomal RNA", at positions 28 to 507 of the family's 1533-position model. The record is from RNAcentral.
GAUGAACGCUGGCGGCGUGCUUAACACAUGCAAGUCGAACGGAAAGGCUCCUGCUUGCAGGGGUACUCGAUUGGCGAACGGGUGAGUAACACGUGGGUGAUCUGCCCUGCACUUCGGGAUAAGCCUGGGAAACUGGGUCUAAUACCGGAUAGGACGAUGGUUUGGAUGCCAUUGUGGAAAGUUUUUUCGGUGUGGGAUGAGCUCGCGGCCUAUCAGCUUUUUGGUGGGGUAAUGGCCUACCAAGGCGUCGACGGGUAGCCGGACUGAGAGGGUGUAAGGCGACAUUGGGACUGAGAUAAGGCACAGACUCCGAAGGGAGGCAGAAGUGGGGAAUAUUGCACAAGGGGCGCAAGCCUGAUGAAGCGACGCCGCGUGGGGGAUGACGGCCUUCGGGUUGUAAACUCCUUGCGCUAGGGACGAAGCGCAAGUGACGGUACCUGGAGAAGAAGCACAGGCUAACUACGUG